RNAcentral lists this ribosomal RNA (332 nucleotides) under uncultured bacterium. RNAcentral's name for it is "bacterial SSU rRNA". It matches the Rfam family "Bacterial small subunit ribosomal RNA", at positions 30 to 360 of the family's 1533-position model. The record is from RNAcentral.
AUUGAACGCUGGCGGCAUGCCUUACACAUGCAAGUCGAACGGCAGCACGGGAGCUUGCUCCUGGUGGCGAGUGGCGAACGGGUGAGUAAUACAUCGGAACGUACCCUGAAGUGGGGGAUAACGUAGCGAAAGUUACGCUAAUACCGCAUAUUCUGUGAGCAGGAAAGAGGGGGAUCGCAAGACCUCUUGCUUUAGGAGCGGCCGAUGUCGGAUUAGCUAGUUGGUGAGGUAAAGGCUCACCAAGGCGACGAUCCGUAGCGGGUCUGAGAGGAUGAUCCGCCACACUGGGACUGAGACACGGCCCAGACUCCUACGGGAGGCAGCAGUGGGAA